Molecule: long non-coding RNA, 467 nt
Filed under: Cavia porcellus (domestic guinea pig)
Lineage: Eukaryota; Metazoa; Chordata; Mammalia; Rodentia; Caviidae
Description: lncRNA (ENSCPOG00000034355.1)
Source: RNAcentral
UGUGGCUGGCUGUGCGAAUGGAGUGCCUGCAUUUGAGGGGACUAAGGUAAGGGUCACAAAGCAGAGCCCGCUGAAGAGAGCGAAAGCAAGGCAAGGAUAGAGCAAAGAGUUUCGGUGAGCUGGCUGAGGAUAAAGGUGAGGGCGUAUGGCCAGUAAAAAGGAAGUUUGGCGAUAACUGAAGAGGAAAGGGAGGAACGAAAUCAGGAGCCGGUACUUGAGCCCUGCACCGCAUUCCGCCCCUUCCCCUGUGCUUCUUGGCCCACCGGCUCAGCAGCCUGCAGCGCCUAGGCUGUCCCACGCUGCCGCUGCUAGUUGCUGUGGAAGAGAGGUCCAACAAAGCUGCAAGUACCGAGUAGCCUGGUCUACGGACAUCGGAGGACUCACAUCUCAAGAAAACACUGGUCCUCGGCAGCUUCAGUUAUGAGGAUUGGCCCACAACUGAGUGUCUAAUAAGAGCUGACUUGCUG